RNA transcript from Amphibalanus amphitrite, 4016 nucleotides. It is a transcript of the gene named troponin T, skeletal muscle-like, with no coding region annotated. Lineage: Eukaryota; Metazoa; Arthropoda; Thecostraca; Balanomorpha; Balanidae. The record is from RefSeq and is a predicted model, not a curated record. The transcript is spliced from 15 exons.
CUCCUCCAGCCUCUGCUGGGCGGCUCUGCUCCCCGUGCUGGACGGCGGUGGCUCUCAGAGGCCGACGGACCCUCGCCGUGAUCACAUUCCACCGGCUGCGGUCUCUCUCCGCGCUGUCUCUCGAGCUUCUCCGGCGCCACCCAUAAAAACACAGCAUCAUGUCUGACGACGAGGAGGUUUACUCUUCUGAGGAAGAAGAGGAGGUUAGCGAGGAGGAGGAGGAGGCUCCCAAACAGGAGGAGCCGAAGCCUGCAAAGCAUGCUGAGGAGAAGAAAGAGGAGAACAUCUUCACUCAUCGGCAGCAGACCACCACCUCCGAGCUGGAUGAACAGCUCAAAGAGUACAUCGCCGAGUGGCGCAAACAGCGCGCCAAGGAGGAGGAAGAGCUGAAAAACCUGCGCGAGAAACAGGCCAAGCGCAAGGUCCUGCGUGCCGAGGAGGAGAAGCGCCUGGCGGCCGCCAAGAAGGUCGAGGAUGAGCGCCGUCUGCGCGAACAGGAGGAGAAGAAGCAGCGCGAGAUGGAGGAAAAGCGCCGCCGCCUCGAGGAGGCCGAGAAGAAGCGCCAGCUGCUCGAGCAGGCCUCCAAAGCCACCGCCGGAGGAAAGAUCAAGAUCAGCAAGAGCGGAGACGCGACCAGCUCCACGCCCGCCAAGGCCGAGGUCAUGAAGACUAAGGAGCAGCUGGCCGAGGAGAAACAGCUCGCCAUGAGCGUCCGCAUCAAGAAACUCAACCUGGACGGCAUGGGCCUGGAGUCGCUCAAAAAGAAGGCCGAUGACCUGUGGACACAGCUGGUGCAGCUCGAGACGGACAAGUACGACCUCGAGGAGCGUCAGAAGCGCCAGGACUACGACCUGAAGGAGCUCAAGGAGCGACAGAAGAUGCAGCUGCGACACAAGGCCGUCAGGCUCGGACUCGAGCCCGAGGCCCUGACUGGAAAGCACCCGCCCAAGAUCCAGACCGCCUCCAAGUUUGAGCGCACCAUCGACCGCCGGACCUACGUCGACAAGAAGGAUCUCUUCGCCGGCGUAAGUGACACCUACGACUCUUUUCACAUACCGUAUUUGUGCCGGGUUGUCGACUCGAGCGCUCGCGAUCGCAUAGAGACUGGGGCCGAUUUUCGGCCCGGCCAGCCGGCGAUGGCACCGAUUUUUGGAGCCGCCUAUCUGACUAUCAUGCAGGUAUUUGUUUGUGAUUUGCGCUGUUUGCUUUUUAUGGUCGUGGUCACGGUCAGAAUGAAAGUACAGUGGAUGUUCAGUCAAGGCUACCGCGGAAUUUGUCGAGGACGACAUGCCAAGACACUGCCUGUUCGACGUUCGUCUCUACACUUUGCACUCCACAUGAUGUGCAUAGGCUCCGCUCACACGAUGAAUUCACGACUCUAUGCUCAAUUUUGUCUAAAUUGUAACGUAGACGACUUUCGUGUUUGAUGGUCUAAUCAAACUAACGGGUCUUCAGAAAAGCAGCGGUGUUUCAUAAAACGGUCUUAAUCGUCUGGGACAUCCUAUUAAACCAAAGCACGGCCAGUUAUGGUUAAUUAUAAAACCAUUGCUUUGCAACGGGUGCCGACCGUUCCAUAUUUUAUCAGCCCAGCGAAAAGUUCCUCGAUUGUCAUCAGUCAUACUGCCUGCAUGGUAACUUAUUUGGUCUAAUUGAGCCGGGUCCAGUAGCCACGUCCAUUUUUGAACACGCCUACAAGUUAUAUUCAAAACUCAUGUACUUCAUUAUUGCGUGAUUAGAAUCUUGAAAUGACAUGCAUAGUCCAUCAUCAAGUGAGUUAUUUUAGGGUGAUGUCAAAUAUGCAAUCUGGAAAUAUUUUCUACUAAAAAAAAAGAGCUUAACAACCCGGGAAACAGAUCGAAUUAGCAUAUUCAGUGUAGCUCGUCUUUUGAAGGUCAAGUUUGCCCGAGCAGAAUUGAAACAUUGCACCAACCUUGCUGUUGCGAACCGGUAACACCAUCGCUGUUUAGGUGUUGAAGUGUGUUUAUUUGAAGUUAAUUUAUUAUUUUGACUGCAUAUAUUGGUUGAGCAUCGGAUGCAUACGUAAAUGUGCCGGACAGUGGGAGUGUCAGUGUGGGCUGAAAAUGCGGGGGAUCUGUUGGCGGCGUAUCAGAGCGCCUUGUAUGCCACAGGGAUGGGACAAUAUCAAUAAAGAACACCUCGAAAAGGAGUGGGGUGAGAAGAAACAGGAGUGGGAAAAGCGGCCCAAGAGUAAGUGACGUCACUAGUCGGUGUCACCAGUCGUCAGCUAGCGGCGCGUUAUCAAUUUUUUACACGCGCCCACCACGGUCGAAUCCGGCCUAGGACGUGCGGCUCGACGUGGAACCUUAGCUUAGAUUUUUCCCCGCAGGUGGCAGCACCGGCGCGGCCGCUGGACUGGCCCGACGCCGGCGGCUGACCGAAUGACUGACCCUGUACGUUGCAUGCCGCUGUACAAAGGCGGGCGUGUGCCGUCGUAGAAUUUUGACCGUAGUGGGCGAUGUCAUCUACAGGGCUUUAUCAACCAGGAGAAGGAAUGCAAGGAGAAGCAGUGGGCGGAAAAGUUGAAAGACUUCGACCACCGCUCCAAAGGUCUGUAGGGGCUUCGGAGCCGCACUAAUAGCACGCUAUUUAACAGUUUAUUAUACCCUAACGACCCUUUAUUGGUGUAGCAUCAGAUUCCUUCUGUGUAUGACACAGUGAUCUGGGUUGACGUUUACUAGAACAAUUACAAUGUCGUACUUGAGUCAGUCAGAAUCUUAGUCAGAGUCAGAUGUCAUAGAGUAUUUGUCUCGAUGCGACUUAAGUUUGGGCGUGAAUUUACUUCAGCCGACUGUUAGACUCUGCAGUAAAGGUAAAUAAAACCAAUGACCCGAUCAAUUCUCUUCGUGAGCAAGUUGUGUGUCUUUUCUGUUCUAUCGCUUCCGAUUUAGGACUUCUUCUCUGUGCAAUGUCAUCUUUCUUUUACAGGGGAACGACUAUCUGUGCUCUGGUUGUGUUCGUAAGGCAGCUAGGGGAUCGACUAAUAAAGCUCUCUUCUACCAACUGUCGAAACUUGUGUCGAAACCCUCGACAUAACUAUUGCAGCUGUUACCCCCUUUUGAUGCAUAAUUAGUCUUUAUGCGUCGUGGAUUGAGUGGCGUCGAGUUCUAUACUGUCAAAAAUAAAAUCCCAUACAUCAUGAUUUUUCUCAAAGCCACUAAAACGCCACACCAAGAAGCCCUCUCCCAAAAAUUCGGUGACCUUCACCGACCUGCCCCGCCCCGAUCUGACCACCCGCUGUCCGUCCCCAGCGCGCCUCCCCUCCACCCCUCCCCGAUCUGACCCACCGCUGUCCAUCCCCAGCGCGCCUCCCCAAGUGGUUCGGUGUCGCGGCCCGACCUGCCCCACCCCUCCCCGAUCUGACCACCCGCUGUCCGUCCCCAGCGCGCCUCCCCUCCACCCCUCCCCGAUCUGACCACCCGCUGUCCGUCCCCAGCGCGCCUCCCCUCCACCCCUCCCCGCUCUGACCCACCCGAUGUCCGUCCCCAGCGCGCCUCCCAAAGUGGUUCGGUGAGCGACCCGGCAAGAAGUCGGAUGACCCCGAGACCCCCCAGGAGGAGGAGAAGGAGGAGGAGCUAGUACCCCCGGCCGAGAUCGAGCCCGAACCCCUGGAGGAAGAGGAGGAAGAGAGUGAGGAAGAAGAGGAGGAGGAGGAAGAGGAAGAAGAGGAGGAGGAGGAAGAGGAAUAAACUCUUCCAAAUUCUCAUUCAUGGUCCGGCGAUCGGUUCCGUCCGCUGACGUGCUGCGGGCAGCGGCAGCGCCCUCUACAACAUCGUGAGCGAUCACAGCGCCACCUACACGGUCCGGGCACGGCCGGCCGGGGCCCACCCAGCCCAGUCCCGACCGACCGGUCCCGCCGUAGCGGCCUGCUGGGCCCCAGUGCGCGGCGUCCGCCGGUCGCCGGGCCGAAUCUGUGUGCCUCAUAUGUCUCCCGAUGCUCGUGACGCUUCUGUUGCCUCUGUUGUACUUUGACGACUCAUAAAUGACUCGGUACGUAA